UAUCUUUCGCAACACAAACAAAAGCAAUAUUCAUCAAGGAUAUAUUAAAUGAUCUCUCAACAGCAUAACAAUGAACGGUAUGUGACAUUUGUACAAUGGAAGACAGCUUGUUCAAUUAAACCUGGCAAAUAUUAAAAAUAUAUUAACCCUUUGAUACGUACAAACCAUAGAUAUAUUUAUUUUUAUACUUAUACUCAAGAUCUUCAAGAACACUGUUGAAUAUACAUUUUUAGUUUCAAAAAGCAAAAUAAAAUAAGUUUUUAUAGUUGGCAGAAAGAAAUGUACAAACAGCAUAAAUUCAAUAUCUCUGAAUAUUUUUUAACAAAUAUAUUAACAUAAUAUUUAUACAUUUGGUUCCACUUUGUAAACUAAUCUGACUUGUAAGUAUUGCAUAUAGAAAAGGUGAAUGAAAGCUACCUAAGAAGCAAGAUCUUCCCAAGAAUCAAGUAGAAUAUUCAUGUGUCACUCUUUUUCAGGGCUUUAAACAUCAAAUAAAAAUACUAUCAACACAUCUAUGUCAGUGCUAUUCAUGUGUUUUUAGAUAAGGGAUUUAUUAAGAUAUGAACAAAACAUGUUUCACCAAUGCAAUGCUUAUUGUUUAUUUUCUUAGCAGCUUACUUGCUUAGUAUUUUAAUAUAAGACACUAGUAUAUUGCGUUGGAUGAAGAGUAUUUUUAAAUGUUAUGAAAAUGCUAAGCACAUUACAGCUUUUAUUUAGUUCACAACA
Sinocyclocheilus rhinocerous is the source of this 726-nucleotide long non-coding RNA. RefSeq lists it as uncharacterized. Lineage: Eukaryota; Metazoa; Chordata; Actinopteri; Cypriniformes; Cyprinidae. The transcript is spliced from 2 exons. The record is from RefSeq and is a predicted model, not a curated record.